This 497-nucleotide ribosomal RNA is filed under the name uncultured bacterium. Its description in RNAcentral is "partial 16S ribosomal RNA". It matches the Rfam family "Bacterial small subunit ribosomal RNA", at positions 28 to 507 of the family's 1533-position model. The record is from RNAcentral.
GACGAACGCUGGCGGCGUGCCUAAUACAUGCAAGUUGAGCGAUGAAGAUUGGUGCUUGCACCAAUUUGAAGAGCAGCGGACGGGUGAGUAACGCGUGGGUAAUCUGCCUUUGAGCGGGGGACAACAUUUGGAAACGAAUGCUAAUACCGCAUAAUAACUUUAAACAUAAGUUUUAAGUUUGAAAGAUGCAAUUGCAUCACUCAAAGAUUAUCCCGCGUUGUAUUAGCUAGGUGGUGAGGUAAAGGCUAAACAAGGCGAGGAUACAUAGCCGACCUGAGAGGGGGGUCGGCCAAAUUGGGACCGAGAAACGGCCCAAACUCCUACGGGAGGCCGCAGUAGGGAAUCUUCGGCAAUGGACGAAAGUCUGAACGAGCAAAGCCGGGUGAGUGAAGAAGGUUUUCGGAUCGUAAAACUCUGUUGGUAGAGAAGAAAGUUGGUGAGAGUGGAAAGCUCAUCAAGUGACGGUAACUAAUCAGAAAGGGACGGCUAACUACGUG